This 338-nucleotide long non-coding RNA is filed under the name Coturnix japonica (Japanese quail). RNAcentral describes it as "lncRNA (ENSCJPG00005008225.1)". Lineage: Eukaryota; Metazoa; Chordata; Aves; Galliformes; Phasianidae. The record is from RNAcentral.
CUGGGACUGUGUUUCGGAUCUCAGCUUCUAAAGUGUCAGCUGAAGCCACAGAGGGUUGGGUGAGCUACUGCUCCAUGCAUAAUUUCUUUGAUGGCUGCAGAUGAAUAUGUCGUGUGGCAGCAACUAAAGGACAUGAAAGAGAGGGAAUACAUUUUCCAUUAAAAAUAACCAAAAUGUUCUUCGACUUCUGUUUCCUGCAACUACUGCAUUACGUAAACACCACAUCAAAAUGCCUGCAGAGACUUGGAUGGCACAGCAGCAUCUUUUGGUCUUAUCUACAGCUCCCUCCAAGGUACAUUCCAUUUGUGAAACCUGAAGCCAAAUCUGAAUGGAGCUGA